CCUACGGGUGGCAGCAGUGAGGAAUAUUGGUCAAUGGGCGCAAGCCUGAACCAGCCAAGUCGCGUGAGGGAUGACGGCCCUAUGGAUUGUAAACCUCUUUUGUCGGGGAGCAAGGCCCGCCACGUGUGGCGGGCAGGAGAGUACCCGAAGAAAAAGCAUCGGCGAACUCCGUGCCAGGAGCCGCGGUAAUACGGAGGAUGCGAGCGUUAUCCGGAUUUAUUGGGUUUAAAGGGUGCGUAGGCGGAAGGUUAAGUCAGCGGUAAAAUGUCGGUGCUCAACACCGGCCUGCCGUUGAAACUGGUGUUCUUGAGUGAGCGAGAAGUAUGCGGAAUGCGUGGUGUAGCGGUGAAAUGCAUAGAUAUCACGCAGAACCCCGAUUGCGAAGGCAGCAGACCGUCGCUCAACUGACGCUGAGGCACGAAAGCGUGGGGAUCGAACAGGAUUAGAUACCCGGGUAGUC
RNAcentral lists this ribosomal RNA (460 nucleotides) under uncultured bacterium. Its description in RNAcentral is "partial 16S ribosomal RNA". It matches the Rfam family "Bacterial small subunit ribosomal RNA", at positions 338 to 795 of the family's 1533-position model. The record is from RNAcentral.